GAUGAACGCUGGCGGCGUGCCUAACACAUGCAAGUCGAACGAAGCACUCUAUUUGAUUUUCUUCGGAAAUGAAGAUUUUGUGACUGAGUGGCGGACGGGUGAGUAACGCGUGGGUAACCUGCCUCAUACAGGGGGGAUAACAGUUGGAAACGACUGCUAAUACCGCAUAAGCGCACGGUAUCGCAUGGUACAGUGUGAAAAACUCCGGUGGUAUGAGAUGGACCCGNGUCUGAUUAGCUAGUUGUGGGGCAACGGCCUACCAAGGCGACGAUCAGUAGCCGACCUGAGAGGGUGACCGGCCACAUUGGGACUGAGACACGGCCCAAACUCCUACGGGAGGCAGCAGUGGGGAAU
Molecule: ribosomal RNA, 354 nt
Filed under: uncultured bacterium
Lineage: Bacteria
Description: bacterial SSU rRNA
Rfam family: Bacterial small subunit ribosomal RNA
Source: RNAcentral